GUCUACGGCCAUACUACCCUGAAUGCGCCUGAUCUCGGAAGCUAAGCAGGGUCGGGCCUGGUUAGGACUUGGAUGGGAGAAAUUGGACAUCAGGAAUCUGAAAAUG
Molecule: ribosomal RNA, 106 nt
Organism: Ochotona princeps (American pika)
Lineage: Eukaryota; Metazoa; Chordata; Mammalia; Lagomorpha; Ochotonidae
Source: Ensembl